GGUUAAGCGACUAAGCGUACACGGUGGAUGCCCUGGCAGUCAGAGGCGAUGAAGGACGUGCUAAUCUGCGAUAAGCGUCGGUGAGGUGAUAUGAACCGUUAUAACCGGCGAUUUCCGAAUGGGGAAACCCAGUGUGUUUCGACACACUAUCAUUAACUGAAUCCAUAGGUUAAUGAGGCGAACCGGGGGAACUGAAACAUCUAAGUACCCCGAGGAAAAGAAAUCAACCGAGAUUCCCCCAGUAGCGGCGAGCGAACGGGGAGGAGCCCAGAGCCUGAAUCAGUGUGUGUGUUAGUGGAAGCGUCUGGAAAGGCGUGCGAUACAGGGUGACAGCCCCGUACACAAAAAUGCACAUAUUGUGAGCUCGAUGAGUAGGGCGGGACACGUGGUAUCCUGUCUGAAUAUGGGGGGACCAUCCUCCAAGGCUAAAUACUCCUGACUGACCGAUAGUGAACCAGUACCGUGAGGGAAAGGCGAAAAGAACCCCGGCGAGGGGAGUGAAAAAGAACCUGAAACCGUGUACGUACAAGCAGUGGGAGCCUCUUAAUGGGGUGACUGCGUACCUUUUGUAUAAUGGGUCAGCGACUUAUAUUCUGUAGCAAGGUUAACCGAAUAGGGGAGCCGAAGGGAAACCGAGUCUUAACUGGGCGUUAAGUUGCAGGGUAUAGACCCGAAACCCGGUGAUCUAGCCAUGGGCAGGUUGAAGGUUGGGUAACACUAACUGGAGGACCGAACCGACUAAUGUUGAAAAAUUAGCGGAUGACUUGUGGCUGGGGGUGAAAGGCCAAUCAAACCGGGAGAUAGCUGGUUCUCCCCGAAAGCUAUUUAGGUAGCGCCUCGUGAAUUCAUCUCCGGGGGUAGAGCACUGUUUCGGCAAGGGGGUCAUCCCGACUUACCAACCCGAUGCAAACUGCGAAUACCGGAGAAUGUUAUCACGGGAGACACACGGCGGGUGCUAACGUCCGUCGUGAAGAGGGAAACAACCCAGACCGCCAGCUAAGGUCCCAAAGUCAUGGUUAAGUGGGAAACGAUGUGGGAAGGCCCAGACAGCCAGGAUGUUGGCUUAGAAGCAGCCAUCAUUUAAAGAAAGCGUAAUAGCUCACUGGUCGAGUCGGCCUGCGCGGAAGAUGUAACGGGGCUAAACCAUGCACCGAAGCUGCGGCAGCGACGCUUAUGCGUUGUUGGGUAGGGGAGCGUUCUGUAAGCCUGUGAAGGUGGCCUGUGAGGGUUGCUGGAGGUAUCAGAAGUGCGAAUGCUGACAUAAGUAACGAUAAAGCGGGUGAAAAGCCCGCUCGCCGGAAGACCAAGGGUUCCUGUCCAACGUUAAUCGGGGCAGGGUGAGUCGACCCCUAAGGCGAGGCCGAAAGGCGUAGUCGAUGGGAAACAGGUUAAUAUUCCUGUACUUGGUGUUACUGCGAAGGGGGGACGGAGAAGGCUAUGUUGGCCGGGCGACGGUUGUCCCGGUUUAAGCGUGUAGGCUGGUUUUCCAGGCAAAUCCGGAAAAUCAAGGCUGAGGCGUGAUGACGAGGCACUACGGUGCUGAAGCGACAAAUGCCCUGCUUCCAGGAAAAGCCUCUAAGCAUCAGGUAACAUCAAAUCGUACCCCAAACCGACACAGGUGGUCAGGUAGAGAAUACCAAGGCGCUUGAGAGAACUCGGGUGAAGGAACUAGGCAAAAUGGUGCCGUAACUUCGGGAGAAGGCACGCUGAUAUGUAGGUGAAGCGACUUGCUCGUGGAGCUGAAAUCAGUCGAAGAUACCAGCUGGCUGCAACUGUUUAUUAAAAACACAGCACUGUGCAAACACGAAAGUGGACGUAUACGGUGUGACGCCUGCCCGGUGCCGGAAGGUUAAUUGAUGGGGUUAGCGGUAACGCGAAGCUCUUGAUCGAAGCCCCGGUAAACGGCGGCCGUAACUAUAACGGUCCUAAGGUAGCGAAAUUCCUUGUCGGGUAAGUUCCGACCUGCACGAAUGGCGUAAUGAUGGCCAGGCUGUCUCCACCCGAGACUCAGUGAAAUUGAACUCGCUGUGAAGAUGCAGUGUACCCGCGGCAAGACGGAAAGACCCCGUGAACCUUUACUAUAGCUUGACACUGAACAUUGAGCCUUGAUGUGUAGGAUAGGUGGGAGGCUUUGAAGUGUGGACGCCAGUCUGCAUGGAGCCGACCUUGAAAUACCACCCUUUAAUGUUUGAUGUUCUAACGUGGGCCCCUUACCGGGGUUGCGGACAGUGUCUGGUGGGUAGUUUGACUGGGGCGGUCUCCUCCUAAAGAGUAACGGAGGAGCACGAAGGUUGGCUAAUCCUGGUCGGACAUCAGGAGGUUAGUGCAAUGGCAUAAGCCAGCUUGACUGCGAGCGUGACGGCGCGAGCAGGUGCGAAAGCAGGUCAUAGUGAUCCGGUGGUUCUGAAUGGAAGGGCCAUCGCUCAACGGAUAAAAGGUACUCCGGGGAUAACAGGCUGAUACCGCCCAAGAGUUCAUAUCGACGGCGGUGUUUGGCACCUCGAUGUCGGCUCAUCACAUCCUGGGGCUGAAGUAGGUCCCAAGGGUAUGGCUGUUCGCCAUUUAAAGUGGUACGCGAGCUGGGUUUAGAACGUCGUGAGACAGUUCGGUCCCUAUCUGCCGUGGGCGCUGGAGAACUGAGGGGGGCUGCUCCUAGUACGAGAGGACCGGAGUGGACGCAUCACUGGUGUUCGGGUUGUCAUGCCAAUGGCACUGCCCGGUAGCUAAAUGCGGAAGAGAUAAGUGCUGAAAGCAUCUAAGCACGAAACUUGCCCCGAGAUGAGUUCUCCCUGAGACUUAGAGUCUCCUGAAGGAACGUUGAAGACGACGACGUUGAUAGGCCGGGUGUGUAAGCGCAGCGAUGCGUUGAGCUAACCGGUACUAAUGAACCGUGAGGCUUAACCUU
This 2905-nucleotide ribosomal RNA is filed under the name Escherichia coli. RNAcentral's name for it is "23S ribosomal RNA". It matches the Rfam family "Bacterial large subunit ribosomal RNA". The record is from RNAcentral. Lineage: Bacteria; Pseudomonadati; Pseudomonadota; Gammaproteobacteria; Enterobacterales; Enterobacteriaceae.